AUUGAACGCUGGCGGAAUGCUUUACACAUGCAAGUCGAACGGCAGCACGGACUUCGGUCUGGUGGCGAGUGGCGAACGGGUGAGUAAUGUAUCGGAACGUGCCCAGUCGUGGGGGAUAACGUAGUGAAAAUUACGCUAAUACCGCAUACGAUCUAUGGAUGGAAGCGGGGGAUCGCAAGACCUCGCGCGAUUGGAGCGGCCGAUAUCAGAUUAGGUAGGUGGUGGGGUAAAGGCCCACCAAGCCAACGACCUGGAGCUGGUCUGAGAGGACGACCAGCCACACUGGAACGGAGACACGGUCCAGACUCCUACGGGAUGCAGCAGUGGGGAAUUUUGGACAAUGGGCGAAAGCCUGAUCCAGCCAUUCCGCGUGCAGGAUGAAGGCCCUCGGGUUGUAAACUGCUUUUGUACAGAACGAAAAGGUUUCUACUAAUACUAGGAGCUCAUGACGGUACUGUAAGAAUAAGCACCGGCUAACUACGUGCCAGCCGCCGCGGUAA
Molecule: ribosomal RNA, 500 nt
Filed under: uncultured bacterium
Lineage: Bacteria
Description: partial 16S ribosomal RNA
Rfam family: Bacterial small subunit ribosomal RNA
Source: RNAcentral